GAUGAACGCUGGCGGCGUGCCUAAUACAUGCAAGUCGAGCGAACGGACGAGGAGCUUGCUCCUCUGACGUUAGCGGCGGACGGGUGAGUAACACGUGGAUAACCUACCUAUAAGACUGGGAUAACUUCGGGAAACCGGAGCUAAUACCGGAUGAUAUUUUGAACCGCAUGGUUCAAUAGUGAAAGACGGUUUUGCUGUCACUUAUAGAUGGAUCCGCGCUGCAUUAGCUAGUUGGUAAGGUAACGGCUUACCAAGGCAACGAUGCAUAGCCGACCUGAGAGGGUGAUCGGCCACACUGGAACUGAGACACGGUCCAGACUCCUACGGGAGGCAGCAGUAGGGAAUCUUCCGCAAUGGGCGAAAGCCUGACGGAGCAACGCCGCGUGAGUGAUGAAGGUCUUCGGAUCGUAAAACUCUGUUAUUAGGGAAGAACAAAUGUGUAAGUAACUAUGCACGUCUUGACGGUACCUAAUCAGAAAGCCACGGCUAACUACGUG
This 497-nucleotide ribosomal RNA is filed under the name uncultured bacterium. RNAcentral describes it as "partial 16S ribosomal RNA". It matches the Rfam family "Bacterial small subunit ribosomal RNA", at positions 28 to 507 of the family's 1533-position model. The record is from RNAcentral.